This 261-nucleotide ribosomal RNA is filed under the name uncultured prokaryote. Its description in RNAcentral is "partial 16S ribosomal RNA". It matches the Rfam family "Bacterial small subunit ribosomal RNA", at positions 524 to 784 of the family's 1533-position model. The record is from RNAcentral.
UACGUAGGUGGCAAGCGUUGUCCGGAUUUAUUGGGCGUAAAGCGAGCGCAGGCGGUUCCUUAAGUCUGAUGUGAAAGCCCACGGCUCAACCGUGGAAGGUCAUUGGAAACUGGGGAAUUUGAGUGCAGAAGAGGAGAGUGGAAUUCCAUGUGUAGUGGUGAAAUGCGUAGAUAUCGAGAGGAACACCGGUGGCGAAGGCGGCUCUCUGGACAGAUACUGACGCUGAGGCUCUAAAGUUAGGGGAGCAAACAGGAUUAGAUA